UCAACAAUUUAGCAUGUGUGCAAAAGGAACGGGGUCAGCAUAAGCUACGUCAGCCAUUUCAUUACAAUAAUGACCGCAAAAUACUUAGAUUGCAUAUAGGAAUUCAGUUUAAAAAUACAAAAAAAAGUUGUAACAUGCAUAGCCCAAGAUUAAAAACCUCUCUCACCGAGGGUUCCGUACUUUUUAAUAUUUGUUGUUAUAGCGGCAAAAGAAAUACAUCAUCUGUGAAAAUUUCAACUGACAGACAGACGGUCGGACAGCGGAGUCUUAUUAAUUGGGUCCCGUUUUACCCUUUGGGUACGCAACGCUAAAAAUGAAUUGAAAUUGAAUCGGAAUGGAAAAUUAAUUGAUUCAAAGGACUUUCCACCUGUAUAAAUCGAUUAUCGCCUUCAUUUAUGGCGUAGACAGUUUGACUGUGGUCACCAUGCGUGUGUGGUUGCUUCUCUGCCUUCUCGCCAUUGGCGUUCAGGCGUAUCACGUUGGUCCAACUGGUUCUUUGGAUGACGUAAACCCACCAACAAAUCACAGGGUAAAAAAGUUAUCCAUGGUCAGCGCUUUUUAUAGCUUAGCCUCGAUCAUAAAAAAUGCUCUACUCGUCAUAAUGAGCGGAAAGAAAAUACAUGAAGAAGGAGUGGGGUAAUAAACAGACAAGCACUCUGGUACUGCAUAAUCCCUUUGUUCACUGAUAAAAAUAAACUGUGCAAAUUAAAA
Cydia pomonella (codling moth) is the source of this 711-nucleotide long non-coding RNA. RefSeq lists it as uncharacterized. The transcript has 6 exons. The record is from RefSeq and is a predicted model, not a curated record. NCBI's taxonomy places the organism in Eukaryota, Metazoa, Arthropoda, Insecta, Lepidoptera, Tortricidae.